This 497-nucleotide ribosomal RNA is filed under the name uncultured bacterium. RNAcentral describes it as "partial 16S ribosomal RNA". It matches the Rfam family "Bacterial small subunit ribosomal RNA", at positions 28 to 507 of the family's 1533-position model. The record is from RNAcentral.
GAUGAACGCUGGCGGCGUGCCUAAUACAUGCAAGUCGAGCGAACAGAUAAGGAGCUUGCUCCUUUGACGUUAGCGGCGGACGGGUGAGUAACACGUGGGUAACCUACCUAUAAGACUGGAAUAACUCCGGGAAACCGGGGCUAAUGCCGGAUAACAUUUAGAACCGCAUGGUUCUAAAGUGAAAGAUGGUUUUGCUAUCACUUAUAGAUGGACCCGCGCCGUAUUAGCUAGUUGGUAAGGUAACGGCUUACCAAGGCAACGAUACGUAGCCGACCUGAGAGGGUGAUAGGCCACACGGGAACUGAGACACGGUCCAGACUCCUACGGGAGGCAGCAGUAGGGAAUCUUCCGCAGUGGGCGAAAGCCUGACGGAGCAACGCCGCGUGAGUGAUGAAGGUCUUCGGAUCGUAAAACUCUGUUAUUAGGGAAGAACAAAUGUGUAAGUAACUGUGCACGUCUUGACGGUACCUAAUCAGAAAGCCACGGCUAACUACGUG